Molecule: ribosomal RNA, 376 nt
Filed under: uncultured Bacillota bacterium
Lineage: Bacteria; Bacillati; Bacillota
Description: bacterial SSU rRNA
Rfam family: Bacterial small subunit ribosomal RNA
Source: RNAcentral
GACGUAGGGGGCGAGCGUUGUCCGGAAUUACUGGGCGUAAAGAGCACGUAGGCGGAUAUUUAAGUCAGGUGUGAAAGACCGCAGCUCAACUGCGGGGUUGCACCUGAAACUGGGUAUCUUGAGGGCAGGAGAGGGAAGUGGAAUUCCUGGUGUAGCGGUGAAAUGCGUAGAAAUCAGGAGGAACACCAGUGGCGAAGGCGACUUUCUGGACUGACCCUGACGCUGAGGUGCGAAAGCGUGGGUAGCAAACAGGAUUAGAUACCCUGGUAGUCCACGCCGUAAACGAUGGAUACUAGGUGUAGGAGGUAUCGACCCCUUCUGUGCCGCAGCUAACGCAAUAAGUAUCCCGCCUGGGGAGUACGGUCGCAAGGCUGAA